Molecule: non-coding RNA, 83 nt
Organism: Aspergillus melleus
Lineage: Eukaryota; Fungi; Ascomycota; Eurotiomycetes; Eurotiales; Aspergillaceae
Source: the annotation of a RefSeq genome assembly
GCCUCUAUUGUCUAGUGGUUAGGACGUACCACUCGUAUGCAUUCGUUAUGGUGAGGUCCCCGGUUCAAAUCCGGGUGGAGGCA